RNAcentral lists this ribosomal RNA (459 nucleotides) under uncultured bacterium. RNAcentral describes it as "partial 16S ribosomal RNA". It matches the Rfam family "Bacterial small subunit ribosomal RNA", at positions 338 to 795 of the family's 1533-position model. The record is from RNAcentral.
CCUACGUGGGGCAGCAGUGAGGAAUAUUGGUCAAUGGCCGGAAGUCUGAACCAGCCAAGUCGCGUGAGGGACGACUGCCCUAUGGGUUGUAAACUUCUUUUAUAAGGGAAUAACAAAUGCCACGUGUUGCAUGAUGCCUGUACCUUAUGAAUAAGCAUCGGCUAACUCCGUGCCAGCAGCCGCGGUAAUACGGAGGAUGCGAGCGUUAUCCGGAUUUAUUGGGUUUAAAGGGUGCGUAGGGGGUUUUUUAAGUUAGUGGUUAAAUGUCUGGGCUCCACCUUGAUUUUCAAUUAAUACUGGAAGACUCGAGUUCAGUCGAGGUAGGCGGAAUACGUGGAGUAGCGGUGAAAUGCUUAGAUAUAACUAAGAACUCCGAUAGCGAAGGCAGCUUACCGGACUGCAACUGACACUGAGGCACGAAAGCGUGGGUAGCAAACAGGAUUAGAUACCCUGGUAGUC